AGUGAACGCUGGCGGUAGGCCUAACACAUGCAAGUCGAACGGCAGCACAGUAAGAGCUUGCUCUUACGGGUGGCGAGUUGCGUACGGGUGAGGAAUACAUCGGACUCUACUUUUUCGUGGGGGAUAACGUAGGGAAACUUACGCUAAUACCGCAUACGACCUACGGGUGAAAGCAGGGGAUCUUCGGACCUUGCGCGAUUGCAUGAGCCGAUGUCGGAUUAGCUAGUUGGCGGGGUAAAGGCCCACCAAGGCGACGAUCCGUAGCUGGUCUGAGAGGAUGAUCAGCCACACUGGAACUGAGACACGGUACAGACUCCUACGGGAGGCAGCAGUGGGGAAUAUUGGAAAAUGGGCGCAAGACUGAUCCAGCCAUACAGCGUGGGUGAAGUAGGCCUUCGGGUUGUAAAGCCCUUUUGUUGGGAAAGAAAAGCAGCAGGUUAAUACCCCGCUGUUCUGACGGUACCCAAAGAAUAAGCACCGGCUAACUUCGUG
RNAcentral lists this ribosomal RNA (492 nucleotides) under uncultured bacterium. RNAcentral describes it as "partial 16S ribosomal RNA". It matches the Rfam family "Bacterial small subunit ribosomal RNA", at positions 29 to 507 of the family's 1533-position model. The record is from RNAcentral.